RNAcentral lists this ribosomal RNA (390 nucleotides) under uncultured bacterium. RNAcentral's name for it is "bacterial SSU rRNA". It matches the Rfam family "Bacterial small subunit ribosomal RNA", at positions 28 to 420 of the family's 1533-position model. The record is from RNAcentral.
GACGAACGCUGGCGGCGUGCUUAACACAUGCAGGUCGAGCGGUAAGGCCCUUUCGGGGGUACACGAGCGGCGAACGGGUGAGUAACACGUGGGUGACCUGCCCUCAGCUCUGGGAUAAGCCUGGGAAACUGGGUCUAAUACUGGAUAUGACUCCACGGUGCAUGUCGUGGGGUGGAAAGCCUUGUGCGGCUGAGGAUGGGCCCGCGGCCUAUCAGCUUUGUUGGUGGGGUGAGGCCUACCAAGGCGACGACGGGUAGCCGGCCUGAGAGGGCGACCGGCCACACUGGGACUGAGACACGGCCCAGACUCCUACGGGAGGCAGCAGUGGGGAAUCUUGCGCAAUGGGCGAAAGCCUGACGCAGCGACGCCGCGUGAGGAUGACGGCCUCGG